GCCAGGGUGUGGUGGCUCACGCCUGUCAUCCCAGCAGCUUGGGAGGCUGAGGCAGGAGGAUCACGAGUUCAAAGCCAGCCUCAGCCACAGCGAAGCCCUAAGCAGCUCAGUGAGACCCUGUCUCUA
RNAcentral lists this small RNA (126 nucleotides) under Marmota monax (woodchuck). Lineage: Eukaryota; Metazoa; Chordata; Mammalia; Rodentia; Sciuridae. The record is from RNAcentral.